This 106-nucleotide ribosomal RNA is filed under the name uncultured bacterium. RNAcentral's name for it is "partial 16S ribosomal RNA". The record is from RNAcentral.
AAGGUUUUCGGAUCGUAAAGCCCUGUCGGAUGGGAAGAAACACGGUACGGCUAAUAUCCGUACCGCUUGACGGUACCAUUAAAGAAAGCACCGGCUAACUACGUGC